GGGUUGUGAGGUUAAGCGACUAAGCGUACACGGUGGAUGCCCUGGCAGUCAGAGGCGAUGAAGGACGUGCUAAUCUGCGAUAAGCGUCGGUAAGGUGAUAUGAACCGUUAUAACCGGCGAUUUCCGAAUGGGGAAACCCAGUGUGAUUCGUCACACUAUCAUUAACUGAAUCCAUAGGUUAAUGAGGCGAACCGGGGGAACUGAAACAUCUAAGUACCCCGAGGAAAAGAAAUCAACCGAGAUUCCCCCAGUAGCGGCGAGCGAACGGGGAGCAGCCCAGAGCCUGAAUCAGUGUGUGUGUUAGUGGAAGCGUCUGGAAAGGCGCGCGAUACAGGGUGACAGCCCCGUACACAAAAAUGCACAUGCUGUGAGCUCGAUGAGUAGGGCGGGACACGUGGUAUCCUGUCUGAAUAUGGGGGGACCAUCCUCCAAGGCUAAAUACUCCUGACUGACCGAUAGUGAACCAGUACCGUGAGGGAAAGGCGAAAAGAACCCCGGCGAGGGGAGUGAAAAAGAACCUGAAACCGUGUACGUACAAGCAGUGGGAGCACGCUUAGGCGUGUGACUGCGUACCUUUUGUAUAAUGGGUCAGCGACUUAUAUUCUGUAGCAAGGUUAACCGAAUAGGGGAGCCGAAGGGAAACCGAGUCUUAACUGGGCGUUAAGUUGCAGGGUAUAGACCCGAAACCCGGUGAUCUAGCCAUGGGCAGGUUGAAGGUUGGGUAACACUAACUGGAGGACCGAACCGACUAAUGUUGAAAAAUUAGCGGAUGACUUGUGGCUGGGGGUGAAAGGCCAAUCAAACCGGGAGAUAGCUGGUUCUCCCCGAAAGCUAUUUAGGUAGCGCCUCGUGAAUUCAUCUCCGGGGGUAGAGCACUGUUUCGGCAAGGGGGUCAUCCCGACUUACCAACCCGAUGCAAACUACGAAUACCGGAGAAUGUUAUCACGGGAGACACACGGCGGGUGCUAACGUCCGUCGUGAAGAGGGAAACAACCCAGACCGCCAGCUAAGGUCCCAAAGUCAUGGUUAAGUGGGAAACGAUGUGGGAAGGCCCAGACAGCCAGGAUGUUGGCUUAGAAGCAGCCAUCAUUUAAAGAAAGCGUAAUAGCUCACUGGUCGAGUCGGCCUGCGCGGAAGAUGUAACGGGGCUAAACCAUGCACCGAAGCUGCGGCAGCGACGCUUAUGCGUUGUUGGGUAGGGGAGCGUUCUGUAAGCCUGCGAAGGUGUGCUGUGAGGCAUGCUGGAGGUAUCAGAAGUGCGAAUGCUGACAUAAGUAACGAUAAAGCGGGUGAAAAGCCCGCUCGCCGGAAGACCAAGGGUUCCUGUCCAACGUUAAUCGGGGCAGGGUGAGUCGACCCCUAAGGCGAGGCCGAAAGGCGUAGUCGAUGGGAAACAGGUUAAUAUUCCUGUACUUGGUGUUACUGCGAAGGGGGGACGGAGAAGGCUAUGUUGGCCGGGCGACGGUUGUCCCGGUUUAAGCGUGUAGGCUGGUUUUCCAGGCAAAUCCGGAAAAUCAAGGCUGAGGCGUGAUGACGAGGCACUACGGUGCUGAAGCAACAAAUGCCCUGCUUCCAGGAAAAGCCUCUAAGCAUCAGGUAACAUCAAAUCGUACCCCAAACCGACACAGGUGGUCAGGUAGAGAAUACCAAGGCGCUUGAGAGAACUCGGGUGAAGGAACUAGGCAAAAUGGUGCCGUAACUUCGGGAGAAGGCACGCUGAUAUGUAGGUGAAGUCCCUCGCGGAUGGAGCUGAAAUCAGUCGAAGAUACCAGCUGGCUGCAACUGUUUAUUAAAAACACAGCACUGUGCAAACACGAAAGUGGACGUAUACGGUGUGACGCCUGCCCGGUGCCGGAAGGUUAAUUGAUGGGGUUAGCGCAAGCGAAGCUCUUGAUCGAAGCCCCGGUAAACGGCGGCCGUAACUAUAACGGUCCUAAGGUAGCGAAAUUCCUUGUCGGGUAAGUUCCGACCUGCACGAAUGGCGUAAUGAUGGCCAGGCUGUCUCCACCCGAGACUCAGUGAAAUUGAACUCGCUGUGAAGAUGCAGUGUACCCGCGGCAAGACGGAAAGACCCCGUGAACCUUUACUAUAGCUUGACACUGAACAUUGAGCCUUGAUGUGUAGGAUAGGUGGGAGGCUUUGAAGUGUGGACGCCAGUCUGCAUGGAGCCGACCUUGAAAUACCACCCUUUAAUGUUUGAUGUUCUAACGUUGACCCGUAAUCCGGGUUGCGGACAGUGUCUGGUGGGUAGUUUGACUGGGGCGGUCUCCUCCUAAAGAGUAACGGAGGAGCACGAAGGUUGGCUAAUCCUGGUCGGACAUCAGGAGGUUAGUGCAAUGGCAUAAGCCAGCUUGACUGCGAGCGUGACGGCGCGAGCAGGUGCGAAAGCAGGUCAUAGUGAUCCGGUGGUUCUGAAUGGAAGGGCCAUCGCUCAACGGAUAAAAGGUACUCCGGGGAUAACAGGCUGAUACCGCCCAAGAGUUCAUAUCGACGGCGGUGUUUGGCACCUCGAUGUCGGCUCAUCACAUCCUGGGGCUGAAGUAGGUCCCAAGGGUAUGGCUGUUCGCCAUUUAAAGUGGUACGCGAGCUGGGUUUAGAACGUCGUGAGACAGUUCGGUCCCUAUCUGCCGUGGGCGCUGGAGAACUGAGGGGGGCUGCUCCUAGUACGAGAGGACCGGAGUGGACGCAUCACUGGUGUUCGGGUUGUCAUGCCAAUGGCACUGCCCGGUAGCUAAAUGCGGAAGAGAUAAGUGCUGAAAGCAUCUAAGCACGAAACUUGCCCCGAGAUGAGUUCUCCCUGACCCUUUAAGGGUCCUGAAGGAACGUUGAAGACGACGACGUUGAUAGGCCGGGUGUGUAAGCGCAGCGAUGCGUUGAGCUAACCGGUACUAAUGAACCGUGAGGCUUAACCUUACAACGCCGAAGGUGUUU
This 2931-nucleotide ribosomal RNA is filed under the name Escherichia coli. RNAcentral describes it as "bacterial LSU rRNA". It matches the Rfam family "Bacterial large subunit ribosomal RNA". Lineage: Bacteria; Pseudomonadati; Pseudomonadota; Gammaproteobacteria; Enterobacterales; Enterobacteriaceae. The record is from RNAcentral.